GGAAGUAAAAGUCGUAACAAGGUCUCCGUUGGUGAACCAGCGGAGGGAUCAUUACUGAGUACUACACUCUCUACCCUUUGUGAACUAUUAUACCUGUUGCUUCGGCGGCGCCCGCAAGGGUGCCCGCCGGUCUCAUCAGAAUCUCUGUUUUCGAACCCGACGAUACUUCUGAGUGUUCUUAGCGAACUGUCAAAACUUUUAACAACGGAUCUCUUGGCUCCAGCAUCGAUGAAGAACGCAGCGAAACGCGAUAUGUAAUGUGAAUUGCAGAAUUCAGUGAAUCAUCGAAUCUUUGAACGCACAUGGCGCCUUCCAGUAUCCUGGGAGGCAUGCCUGUCCGAGCGUCGUUUCAACCCUCGAGCCCCUGUGGCCCGGCGUUGGGGAUCUGCCACGGCAGGCCCCUAAAACCAGUGGCGGACCCGAAGGCCCUCUCCUUUGCGCAGUAGCAUCAGCCUCGCAUUGGGAUCCCUCGGCGUCCUGCCUCUAAACCCCCCACAAGUCCGCUCCGGCGGCACCAAGGUUGACCUCGGAUCAGGUAGGAAUACCCGCUGAACUUAAGCAUAUCAAUAAGCG
RNAcentral lists this small RNA (573 nucleotides) under Plectosphaerella cucumerina. RNAcentral's name for it is "eukaryotic LSU rRNA". The stretch from base 194 to 347 matches the Rfam family "5.8S ribosomal RNA". The record is from RNAcentral. Lineage: Eukaryota; Fungi; Ascomycota; Sordariomycetes; Glomerellales; Plectosphaerellaceae.